RNAcentral lists this ribosomal RNA (433 nucleotides) under uncultured bacterium. Its description in RNAcentral is "partial 16S ribosomal RNA". It matches the Rfam family "Bacterial small subunit ribosomal RNA", at positions 29 to 507 of the family's 1533-position model. The record is from RNAcentral.
AACGAACGCUGGCGGCAUGCCUAACACAUGCAAGUCGAACGAGACCUUCGGGUCUAGUGGCGCACGGGUGCGUAACGCGUGGGAACCUGCCCUUAGGUUCGGAAUAACUCCCCGAAAGGGGUGCUAAUACCGGAUAAUGUCUUCGGACCAAAGAUUUAUCGCCUUUGGAUGGGCCCGCGUUGGAUUAGCUAGUUGGUAGGGUAAAAGCCUACCAAGGCGACGAUCCAUAGCUGGUCUGAGAGGAUGAUCAGCCACACUGGGAAUGAGACACGGCCCAGACUCCUACGGGAGGGAGCAGUGGGGAAUAUUGGACGAUGGGCGAAAGCCUGAUCCAGCAAUGCCGCGUGAGUGAUGAAGGCCUUAGGGUUGUAAAGCUCUUUUACCCGGGAUGAUAAUGACAGUACCGGGAGAAUAAGCUCCGGCUAACUCCGUG